RNAcentral lists this ribosomal RNA (458 nucleotides) under uncultured bacterium. RNAcentral's name for it is "partial 16S ribosomal RNA". It matches the Rfam family "Bacterial small subunit ribosomal RNA", at positions 338 to 795 of the family's 1533-position model. The record is from RNAcentral.
CCUACGGGAGGCAGCAGUGGGGAAUAUUGCACAAUGGGGGAAACCCUGAUGCAGCGACGCCGCGUGAGUGAAGAAGUAAUUCGUUACGUAAAGCUCUAUCAGCAGGGAAGCAAUACUGACCUUACGGUCAGCAGACGGUACCUGAGUAAGAAGCCCCGGCUAACUACGUGCUAGCAGCCGCGGGAAUACGGAGGGGGCAAGCGUUCUCCGGAUUUUCUGGGGGUAAAGGGAGCGUAGACGGUGCGCCAAGUCAGGAGUGAAAUGCGGGAGCUUAACUGCGGAACUGCUUUGGAAACUGGCGAACUAGAGUGCGGGAGAGGUAAGCGGAAUUCCUAGUGUAGCGGUGAAAUGCGUAGAUAUUAGGAGGAACACCGGUGGCGAAGGCGGCUUACUGGACCGUAACUGACGUUGAGGCUCGAAAGCGUGGGGAGCAAACAGGAUUAGAUACCCGUGUAGCC